AGGAACUUAGGUGUACAUUUAAACCGAGGGCCUUCAAAGCCUUAGACAAGACAUGCCUCUUAGUUCCUG
This 69-nucleotide transfer RNA is filed under the name Calotes mystaceus. Its description in RNAcentral is "tRNA-Trp". Lineage: Eukaryota; Metazoa; Chordata; Lepidosauria; Squamata; Agamidae. The record is from RNAcentral.